Molecule: transfer RNA, 62 nt
Filed under: uncultured Faecalibacillus sp.
Lineage: Bacteria; Bacillati; Bacillota; Erysipelotrichia; Erysipelotrichales; Coprobacillaceae
Rfam family: tRNA
About the family: Transfer RNA (tRNA) molecules are approximately 80 nucleotides in length. Their secondary structure includes four short double-helical elements and three loops (D, anti-codon, and T loops). Further hydrogen bonds mediate the characteristic L-shaped molecular structure. tRNAs have two regions of fundamental functional importance: the anti-codon, which is responsible for specific mRNA codon recognition, and the 3' end, to which the tRNAs corresponding amino acid is attached (by aminoacyl-tRNA synthetases). tRNAs cope with the degeneracy of the genetic code in two manners: having more than one tRNA (with a specific anti-codon) for a particular amino acid; and 'wobble' base-pairing, i.e. permitting non-standard base-pairing at the 3rd anti-codon position.
Source: RNAcentral
CUCCAAUGGUAGAGCAACUGACUCGUAACCAGUAGGUUGCAGGUUCGAUUCCUGUCACCGGC